Molecule: long non-coding RNA, 1089 nt
Organism: Acanthochromis polyacanthus (spiny chromis)
Lineage: Eukaryota; Metazoa; Chordata; Actinopteri; Pomacentridae
Exons: 4
Source: RefSeq, a predicted model, not a curated record
AACAGCAUUGUUUAGCAGUAGCACAGGAACGCGUCUGCUGGCUGAGCUGAAGAGCAACAAGUGGCACUUGAGGCAUUUUAACAGUGGAUGAAAUGGGUCAGAUGCUAGGCGUGUUGUGCAACAUAAUCAUAAAUCCUCUGAUGCCAGGACCACUUCCACUUCCACAGAGGAGACCUUCCAGGGACAACAAUGUGAACUUGAUGAACGACCAAGUCCUCUCUCUGAAGGAAUCCUUCAUGUGUCUUAUCUGCCACGAGACGGUGACAGACCCCAUCAUGUGUCCUCGCUGCCAGAGCAUUGUGGGAUGUGCUGCUUGUCUCCAGGAUGGACCUAGGCGUAUACAGCGUUGUCCCAAAUGUAUGACUGCUGGUUUUGGAGACAGUUACUUAAGGCUGAAGGGUGUGGAUGAAGCUUUAGACGCCAUCCGUAUGUUACCUGACUAAAUACUCAGAAGAAGAAUUCAACGGAGUCCGUGACUGAAGAUUUUCAGCAGGACCCCUCAUCACUCACAAAGUCGUCCUGAAAUAAGGUGAGCAGAGACCUGUUGUUUGUAAAAACAAACAAAAACUCUGCAAAUUGAAUACUAUUAAAUUUCUGUGAGUGUUUAGGAGGUAAGGUUAACUGUCCUGAAUUGUUUUGAUAAGAUCAUGCAUACUGGCUGGAUUUUUUUGGAAAAUUGAUCAUUGAAAUUGCAUUGGGGAGCAAUAUGUCAUGUUUUCAUCACACAUGUUUCCUGUACUAUAUAUCUAACCAUUGUUGAUGUCUCGGUGGAUCUGAAGCAAGCCAGUUUCUUGCUAUAGCCUUCCUGCCAGCUGUGAGAAGAAUUUUAACCAGAUAGUUUUCUUCCUUCAGUUCAACUUUACCUUUAUUUCCCAGGUAUAGAGUGAAGCACUUCUUAAUCAUCGUAUAUCCGAGUACUUUGUUCAUCACAGAGUUGACUUCAUCCCAAAAGAUAUGUGUAUGGUUAGCAUUUAUUUCACCACAUUGCCUCCAGCAUGUUUGCUGUUUUAAUAAUUGUUUGUUUUUUAAAUUUGGUGUCAUAAAAAAUGUGUUAAAUUCUUCCAAUUAAAUUCUCUCCAUGUAAAUGAA